RNAcentral lists this ribosomal RNA (305 nucleotides) under uncultured bacterium. RNAcentral's name for it is "partial 16S ribosomal RNA". It matches the Rfam family "Bacterial small subunit ribosomal RNA", at positions 508 to 807 of the family's 1533-position model. The record is from RNAcentral.
ACAGCAGUAGCCGCGGUAAUACGAAGGGUGCAAGCGUUAAUCGGAAUUACUGGGCGUAAAGCGUGCGUAGGCGGUGGGUUAAGUCUGCUGUGAAAUCCCCGGGCUCAACCUGGGAAUGGCAGUGGAUACUGGCUCGCUAGAGUGUGUCAGAGGAUGGUGGAAUUCCCGGUGUAGCGGUGAAAUGCGUAGAGAUCGGGAGGAACAUCAGUGGCGAAGGCGGCCAUCUGGGACAACACUGACGCUGAGGCACGAAAGCGUGGGGAGCAAACAGGAUUAGAGACCCCCGUAGUCCCUGUCUCUUAUAC